This 447-nucleotide ribosomal RNA is filed under the name uncultured bacterium. Its description in RNAcentral is "bacterial SSU rRNA". It matches the Rfam family "Bacterial small subunit ribosomal RNA", at positions 329 to 793 of the family's 1533-position model. The record is from RNAcentral.
CGCCAGACUCCUACGGGAGGCAGCAGUGGGGAAUAUUGCACAAUGGGGGAAACCCUGAUGCAGCGACGCCGCGUGAGCGAUGAAGUAUUUCGGUAUGUAAAGCUCUAUCAGCAGGGAAGAAGCUGACGGUACCUGACUAAGAAGCCCCGGCUAACUACGUGCCAGCAGCCGCGGUAAUACGUAGGGGGCAAGCGUUAUCCGGAUUUACUGGGUGUAAAGGGAGCGUAGACGGCGAUGCAAGCCAGAUGUGAAAGCCCGGGGCUCAACCCCGGGACUGCAUUUGGAACUGUGUGGCUGGAGUGUCGGAGAGGCAGGCGGAAUUCCUAGUGUAGCGGUGAAAUGCGUAGAUAUUAGGAGGAACACCAGUGGCGAAGGCGGCCUGCUGGACGAUGACUGACGUUGAGGCUCGAAAGCGUGGGGAGCAAACAGGAUUAGAUACCCUCGUAC